AGGGCAUUCGCCAAGAGGUAAGGCACAGGAAUUUGACUCCUGUAUUCACUGGUUCGAAUCCAGUAUGCCCUG
Molecule: transfer RNA, 72 nt
Filed under: Caudoviricetes sp.
Lineage: Duplodnaviria; Heunggongvirae; Uroviricota; Caudoviricetes
Description: tRNA-Gln
Rfam family: tRNA
About the family: Transfer RNA (tRNA) molecules are approximately 80 nucleotides in length.
Source: RNAcentral